AACACGUAAGAAAAUAUAUGACGCUUAGGGUUCAUUCCCUUGCCUCCAAAUCCAUCAAAUUUUGAUCGACGAUGAAGAAUUCCGACAACAAACGGCUUCUUGUGAUACAUAACUGUGGAAAGUCGGGUAAGUAUCAAUUUACCGCUCUUUCUCCGCGAGAUUUAUCUGUAAUCGGUGACGAAAGUUGAGUUGUAUUCGUUCCAAGAGGAUUCCUGGAACCAAAUUUCUCCUAAGAAGCCCUUUGAUAAUCUUGAAGAAACAUAUAUGUAUGGUUCUAUGGCUAUAUCUGUUAGAGGUAAAUUUUAUUGGUUUAAUUUGCUUGACAGAAUUGUAUCGUUGGAUAGUAGUGAGAAAACCUUAUCUUACAUUGAUUUACCACCAGAGUGUCAUCCCUCGAUUCCCAUUGAAUGGGGUGAGCUUGUCCAGUUUAAUGGUGGAGAUUCGUUAGGUUAUGUUCGCAUUCGGAAUCGACAUCCUAAAGUUGGUAUUGAUUUUGACCUUUGGGAAUGGAGUGAAGAGUUAAUUAAAGUGGGUUGUUAAGUUUAGUGUGUCUCUUGGUGGUGCUAUGGGUACAGUACCGGCGACUAUAUGCGGAACAUUCUUGUUUCUUUAUGGAAGGUCUGGCAAACUGGGUGAUAAUGAACAUCGUCUAGUAGCUUACGAGUGGACUAAGGGAGACUGCAAGGAACUCGGUAUUGAUACUAAUGGCGUUAAAAUCCAUAUCGUUUGUUAUGUUGAGGGCAC
RNAcentral lists this long non-coding RNA (744 nucleotides) under Salvia miltiorrhiza (redroot sage). RNAcentral's name for it is "long non-coding RNA (SMIL_LNC007585)". The record is from RNAcentral. Lineage: Eukaryota; Viridiplantae; Streptophyta; Magnoliopsida; Lamiales; Lamiaceae.